GAAUAUGAGGGCAGUCUCACUGUGACAUCUGUCAUCCCAUUGAUCACCAGAGUUGAUUCAGCGAAUCUGACUAUCAAAGCCAGUGUCCCCUUCUUUCCUCACUGAUCCAUGUGCGUCUCUCCCAAAUCUGUGUGCUUGGUCAAAGAGGAUAACCUUCCUUGAACAGAAAUGGACCAGUCUUUGGUUGAGGGUAUAUAAGAAGCUGUGCUCCCCUCCUGGAGCCACCACAUGUGUACAUAAAUCUCUCUAGAUGAAUGUUUGUUUCCUUUACUAUUCUAUCUAAAGAAAUUUCUAGUUCUUU
Erinaceus europaeus (western European hedgehog) is the source of this 301-nucleotide non-coding RNA. NCBI's taxonomy places the organism in Eukaryota, Metazoa, Chordata, Mammalia, Eulipotyphla, Erinaceidae. The record is from Rfam.